This 1287-nucleotide ribosomal RNA is filed under the name Triticum aestivum (bread wheat). RNAcentral describes it as "partial small subunit ribosomal RNA". Lineage: Eukaryota; Viridiplantae; Streptophyta; Magnoliopsida; Poales; Poaceae. The record is from RNAcentral.
AUGGUGACAGAAACCUCAUGGGAGUGCAGCGAUCUCAGCGACGCUAUUAAUAUUAUUGGAAGGGAGCGACGUCCGGCGCCGCUAGCUCGACGUGAUGUGAUUGAGGAUAGUGGUAGUGAUAGUGAUAGUGAUAGUGAUAGUGAUAGUGAUAAUCUCGACAUGAUGGAGAUGGGAAGAAGAAGAACCAUGGAUGCCAAGACAUGGAGAAAAACAGCACGAGAGUUUGAGUCUGAUUUCGCCCGAGUGGACUUCAGAAUCCAUAGAUUCCCCACGAGCCUACGAGACCUGGGCUCAAGGUACAUUGUCCCCAAGGUGGUGGCCAUCGGCCCUUACCAUCGAGGCUCGGAGCAUCUCAAGGAGAUGGAGAAGGUGAAGCACGUGGCUGCGUACCACUACAUCUUGGAUUGCCAGGCGAAUCUCAAAGACGGCUUCUCGUAUGAGGCAAUGAAAGCGGGGGUCCUUUCUGUAAUAGAUGAUGCCCGCGGCUUCUACGCCGACGUGACGGCAACAGCGGCUAUCGGUGAUGCUGAGUUUGCGGACAUGUUGUUUCUUGACGGUUGCUUCUUGUUGCAGUAUAUGCGCAUGCUUUACAACCGUAGGCUUUUGUAUUCGUCGUUGCUGUGCUGUUUCGAUUCAAAUCAAGUUUGCAUCAGCAAUGACAUAAUGCUGCUGGAGAACCAGCUGCCAUGGAUGGUGCUGCAGGCCCUCAUGAAGUUCCUAGAUACCGAGAAGACAGUUAUGAAGGGAGUUGCCAGGAUGGGACGCACACUGCAGCUCCGUUGGGGAGAGAGUAAUAACAGAAGAUGUAAAUUGCGUAGCUACGUGCCGCCACAUCUCCUUGGCCUCCUCCGGUUCUACAAAACAGGAUGCAAGACUAUUGAACCAGGACAGUCCAUAUUUGAUGAAGCUAUCAGGCGGCCAGUUUCAAAAACUGUUAGUGCUGCCGAGCUUGCAGAGAUGGGCAUAACAAUCACAACUAGCAAGACAAGAGAGCUCGGGGACAUGGGUAUCAGGAAAAGACCCCUCUUCAGUCAGAUCUUCGUGGCGCCACUAUUGUUGGACGAAAUGAGGUCAUGCUGGCUCGUCAACAUGGCGGCUUUCGAGGUAUGCAUCGCUACAGACUUUUUGAGCUCCACUGAAAUGCCGGUCGUCUGCUCUUACCUUGCUGUCCUCGCAAUGCUCAUGGAUCGAGAGGAGGACGUGCACAGGCUGCGAUCAAAGCAUGUCGUGCAAGGAGAACUCACCAACANNNNNNNNNNGGAGAGUCGGAACAGGAGAAAAUAUUGA